RNAcentral lists this ribosomal RNA (254 nucleotides) under uncultured bacterium. RNAcentral's name for it is "partial 16S ribosomal RNA". It matches the Rfam family "Bacterial small subunit ribosomal RNA", at positions 524 to 776 of the family's 1533-position model. The record is from RNAcentral.
UACGUAGGGGGCAAGCGUUGUCCGGAUUUAUUGGGCGUAAAGAGCUCGUAGGCGGCUUGUCGCGUCGACUGUGAAAACCCGUGGCUCAACCAUGUGGUCUGCAGUCGAUACGGGCAGGCUAGAAUUCGGUAGGGGAGACUGGAAUUCCUGGUGUAGCGGUGAAAUGCGCAGAUACCAGGAGGAACACCGGUGGCGAAGGCGGGUCUCUGGGCCGAUAUUGACGCUGAGGAGCGAAAGCGUGGGGAGCGAACAGG